This 785-nucleotide long non-coding RNA is filed under the name Rattus norvegicus (Norway rat). Its description in RNAcentral is "long non-coding RNA NONRATT008837". The record is from RNAcentral. Lineage: Eukaryota; Metazoa; Chordata; Mammalia; Rodentia; Muridae.
UCAGGGAUUUCGUUAUGAGAAGCUUUCUAGCAAAACUUGGGGAUGGGUAUUUUGGGGUCACAGAGGUCACUGAGGAGUGCCCAGGGCAAGAUGUCACUGGAGCGGUUGUGCCCCAUGCUGCUGGCUUACCCACCAUCUCACCACUGCCCUUAUCCUGCAUCAGCCAUGCAGAUACAGAGACACAAAGAAAGAUGCUCAAAGGAAAAAAGCAAAAAACCCGGCAAAGCAACACAUCAAGCCUUUAAGUACUUAACCACUUCCAUGGUGUCCAGGAUUCUGUUCCCUGGGUUGACCCCACACAAAGCCAGUGCUUCGGAAGGUUCAAGUGCUCUGUAUGUGUGUCGAGCUUGCCAUUGCACUCACACUCACUCCACACAGCGAAUCCUUCCUGGCUCAGCCCUGCCUGACCUGGGAGGAGCUCACAGAAGUUAACAUCUUCAAGGUGGGAGGGAGCUAAGCUGAGCUCAAGGAAAGUCCCUUCUGGGAGUGUCUCAGACAUCUGCUAUGCCAGCUAUCCCUGUGCCCCAUACUGAGCCCCUGCCAUGCUGACCUGGUCGUGUCCUGGGCCUCAGUGAGGAAUGUAUCUUCAUUCUUUGGGAACGUGGCACAAAGCUGGUCUGCCCUCUCUGGAAGGAUACAUUACUGGUGUUAAGUUCUGACCUGCCAAUGGCCUUUUCUUAGGAGCCCUUUCUUCCUCCUCUGUGUAGAGAAGGGCAUUGGCUUUCCUCUGCUCCCUGCCAGCAUCUUCCUGCCCCCUGUGCUGUGGGAGUCACCUUUUCCACAGA